RNAcentral lists this unclassified non-coding RNA (292 nucleotides) under Hevea brasiliensis (rubber tree). The record is from RNAcentral. Lineage: Eukaryota; Viridiplantae; Streptophyta; Magnoliopsida; Malpighiales; Euphorbiaceae.
UGCCAGCUCAUCCUCUGCCACCUAAAAAAUUUAAUCGGAAGUCAGACUCAACAAUAAAACCGGAAAGCCUUCAAGCAUUUGAUCCAGGAAAUAAUAUGAUCAAAAUAUGUCAAUGCAAAAUGCUUAAAUUGUUUUGCAGACAUGCUAAAAUAAAGCCAGAGUAUAUAUUAAUAUGCAAGGUGGCAAAAUAAAGAACUGAAUUGGGCUUUUUUUUUGUCGGAAGAAUUAGAAGGAGAUUGAAAUAACAAGUUGAAAAUAAAAACCAAUUACCUAUGGAAACCAAGCAAAUGUG